This 427-nucleotide ribosomal RNA is filed under the name uncultured Cobetia sp. Its description in RNAcentral is "bacterial SSU rRNA". It matches the Rfam family "Bacterial small subunit ribosomal RNA", at positions 353 to 772 of the family's 1533-position model. The record is from RNAcentral. Lineage: Bacteria; Pseudomonadati; Pseudomonadota; Gammaproteobacteria; Oceanospirillales; Halomonadaceae.
AGUGGGGAAUAUUGGACAAUGGGCGAAAGCCUGAUCCAGCCAUGCCGCGUGUGUGAAGAAGGCCUUCGGGUUGUAAAGCACUUUCAGCGAGGAAGAACGCUUCGGGAUUAAUACUCCCGAGGAAAGACAUCACUCGCAGAAGAAGCACCGGCUAACUCCGUGCCAGCAGCCGCGGUAAUACGGAGGGUGCAAGCGUUAAUCGGAAUUACUGGGCGUAAAGCGCGCGUAGGUGGCUAAGUCAGCCAGGUGUGAAAGCCCCGGGCUCAACCUGGGAACGGCAUCUGGAACUGCUUGGCUAGAGUGCAGGAGAGGAAGGUAGAAUUCCCGGUGUAGCGGUGAAAUGCGUAGAGAUCGGGAGGAAUACCAGUGGCGAAGGCGGCCUUCUGGACUGACACUGACACUGAGGUGCGAAAGCGUGGGUAGCAAA